CAUUCAUUGGUCGAAAAUUUUAUAUAACAAAGACACUCACACACAAAGAGGGCUGGGGGGGGGGAACGGAAUAAAGAGAGAGGAGGAGACGGAUAGAAAAAAAUAGAGAGCUUCAGAUAUUAAAAAAAAGAACGAAAAAAGAGAGGAGGAAACCGGGGGAGAAGAAACAGACCGAGAAAGGAAAAACGGAAAACAGAGGCGACCAUCUUCUUCACGUUUCCUCUAAAAUCCUCCUCCAUUUUUCUGCCAUAGAACACAUGAAAAACACAGGGGCCUGGACAGAAAACAGAGUCAAAAUAGAAAGGGGAACAUGUAAAAAGGGUCACGAAACAAAGGCAUCAGAGUGAGGGGAUUUAGAAAAAUAACAGAGUGACGAGGAAACGGCCAGUAGCGCCUCAACCUCGACCAAUCAGCUGCAAAUUGCCAUACAAAAAACCAUCCAAACUCCUUGAAAGCCCAGCUGAAAUGUAGCUUCAAGAACUGCCACCAAACACUAUAAAACAGAUCUUUGAACCAUUGUCAUCGUCCUCUAAAGUAGCUGGAAAAACGCAGCAACCGUCCUUCAAAAAGACCUCCAUUAGCGCCACCUCCAAAGCGGCUUCUAACACUACUCCAAAACAGUUGCGAUGCUAGCCUUGAAUUGCAGCAAUGCUAGCUACUUCUCUAAAAGUUUCGGCCGAGUUUUGAGGUUGCCGAUGAGGUUCCGUUCGAGGUCCGCCUUUGGGUUCGUCGUUGACUUUCAAAAUCUACAAAGUCACGUUAUUGCAUUGAAGGUCUGUUGUUCUGAUUUUGCUUUCUUACAGUAUUUGUUUUGAAAUACAUGAUCCUUGGUGUUUUGAAUUAUGAAUUCCAGUUUGAAUGAAGUUCUUUACUCUUUGAGAAAUACCACUGAAUAAUCUUCUUAUUAACAUAACGUCAAAGGCUAUCCUUAUCCUUUAUUUUCGGUAUCUUAUUUAUUUGCUUCACUUGUAUGUGGAAAACAUUUGCUAUUUGCGCUUUUAUUUUAGCUUACAUUAUUUUCAUGAUGGCUUUUAUUUUUAUAAGGCAUUUUAGUGCUCAUUUGUUAAUCAUUCUUCUGAUUGAUGGGGAUUUGGGGGUAGGGUAGUAUUUGGACCAAAGGUUGAUACUAGGUGCAUAUUACAAUUUGGCUAGCCAAGAUAUUAAAAUUUGGGCAUGUACUAUUGAAUACUACUUGACCAAAUAUUAAUAAUGCUAUAAACUAGCCCACUUUCAUAAUAGCUAAAAUCAUACAUUUGUCCACAAUAAACUCCAUAACUGUGAACUCCUAUGCAAUCGUCGUGAACUCAGAAAAAUUAGCUUAUGAAAAUAUCGUAGUUGCUUUUGGCACGAUUAAUAAUAAUUAUCGUGGCUAUGAGUACGGUUCCCGUGGCAUGGUCGUGAUACAUAAAACUCAAUCCGGGUGUGCAUUUCAUGUGACCCGGCUCUAAUUUCCAACAAGUUAAAUAUAACGUGUCGUGAACCACGGGUGAAUUUCAUGUAGCGUGGCUUACGAUGUGUUUUAAACAACCUUGAAUUUUCCUAAAAUAUUAAAAAGCGGUUAGAAAGUUAAAACAAUGCACAUAGGUUUUAAACGUGUAAUUAAUCAGAUAAUUAGGCCAAUCUGAAUCGUUAAGCUACCGAGCUAAAACCACGGAACCCGGGAAGUUCAACAACCAUUUUGAGCGGCAAGCUCGAUUUACGAUCAACAAAAUAAGGUUUGAAUCCAAUUCCUUUUCCAUGAAUCUGCCAACAACAUAUAUGACAUCAUACUUACGCUUACGAUAUCAUUUUCAAUAGAAACAUCAUAAGCAUAAUCUUCAAAUAUAGUCCACAUGCAUAGCACCUUAACCUUUACCGUCAACUUCUUAUUUUCCAUAUUAUCUUAUUCAAUCCACUUAAUUAGCACAUAGAUAAGCUUAACAAUAGCAGACAUAACAUAAUGAAACUAUUUAUAACAAUUUCUAGCCACAAGAAAAGAUAAUGAUUCCUUAUGCCAUAUCAAUUACUAUCUUGUAGAUUUUCACUCAAACAACUCAAUCAACACAUGAUAUACCUUAAGCACAACCAAGAAUAUGAUUUACAUACCUUAGGUAGUAUAUACAACUUGAAAUCCCCAGCUGAUGUAGCUGAUAACCACCCUCAAUCACACCACAACACUAUAGGAGUUGUAUUCUCCUCUUGAAUCAACUUUUGUGUUCAAGUUGGUGUGUAAAUACUUGUAUUUUGCCUUGAAACUCUAAUAUAUAUGAAGGAGGGACUGAUUCUUAUCUUAAUAAUAAAGAAAAACAUGAAAUCUGAAGUUACUUACCUUUGAAGAACCCUCCAAAAUAUCCACAAGAUGAAGAACUACGAUCUAGUAAGUACCACGAGAUUUCUAGCGUUGGAUUCAUGUUUUUAUCUUAGGUUUUCACCCUAAAAUCAUGGAAGAACCCUUGGAGAGAAUUUAGGAGGGUUUAGGAACUAUUUUUGAUGAGAAAAAUGAGUUAAAACAACAUAUAAUUGACUUAAAUACAAGUUGAAGUUUUACACCGACUUUGUGGGUCCCAUGGGAGCUGAUUUUGCAGUCUCGCGAAAAUGCAAAUAUCUCUCUAGUUCGAUGUCUUAUUGAUGAACGGUUUAAUGUGCUAGAAACUAGACUUGUAGAUAUUCAAUUUGAUAUGUAUAUAGUCCCUUGAUUCCAAGUAUAUUGGAAGAAAAGUGUAGCUACAUUUGACCUAAAUUUCAGCACAUUAUGGAUGUAACUUGUGAUGACCUUUGCCAACUUUUGUUCCACAACUCGCUUGACUUAAAAACAUAACACACGAAUAUCAUACAACUAAAAUAACUCAUAACUUAACCUCCUUAUCAUGUUAAUAACCCUAGUCUCUAUCCAAUAGUACAUUUUAUAACAUUCCAAACUUGUUGACUUUCGACGAAACUUAUUUUCUUCAAUUCAUUUAGCGUCUAUGCUUUCAAUCCCUUUUGGUACUUGUUAUUCAUGAUAUUAAAGAUUUGUAACCUCCAAGAUAACAUGAUGAACUUACUUUAUGUACUUUCAAUGCUAAUCUCAUUUUUUUAGCUUAUAUUAAUUGACUUACGACGUACUCUCAUGUACGAAAACAUGGGAUGUAACAUCAUUCCCCCCUCUGAAACAUUCAUCCUCGAAUGUUGACUGAUGCGUUUAUCAGUCUCAUAACCUGUAGCUCUUACGAAUACUUUAAUAGUGUCUUUGACAUCUAGGAAACUAUUCUAUAAAUAAAUCCAAAGGCCAGGGUAUUUCCCCCCUUUAGGCCUCUUUCUCAUACCAUGACAUGUGGUCAGAAUUCUUCCAAUCUCGUAACUGUUGUUACUUUAUGUCAUGCAUCAUGUACAACCGUCUACUUGUAUGUGUGCCUAUGCGACUCCUCUCUCCUUUUUCCUCCAACUUUUAACCAAUCUCUAGGCCUCACUUUGUGAAUAUAUACAGAACUAUGACAAGAUGCCCCUCUAGGAAUAUAUAGGUGUACUAAAGUUCUUCGCUUGGUACUUCGUCGAACUUACGACUAUUGCUAUACCUUGCUUCAUAGCUUCGGUUAUCUAUGCUUAUGGUUUUACUACAUCUAGGUAGGUCAUACUAUAUCCUAACUCUUACUUCGGUUUAUUAUUACCGAGGUCUUCUACCCAACUCCAGGUUACUCUCUCACCGCUUAUCCUAUAUGUCUAAAUCUAAGCCAUUUAAUGCUUCCUUACUACUGUUCAUCUAAAUAAUGGCAUCAUAAUCUCCUCUCAUACUUUGGAACAUUCAUCCAUCUAUUGUUGAUUCACCUUAAUGUUGAUCUAUAAUCCACCAUUGAUAACUUGAAACCUCUUACGUAAUACAUUGUCACUAGGGCUCACGUCUCAUCAGGGAACAUAUAAAGUAGCUUUCCUUAUCCACCUAGGGACGAUACCAUACUUCAAUAACCGUAUUUUAUAGCAUCCCAAUGUGAUCUGUCUUAUGGGGGUAUUCUAAUCCCGUGUCAUCCAAGAAAUCUCUUCUCUUUGAAUUAUUACUCAAUCGACGGCCUAAAUAUCAUCCUUUUAUAAUUUACCACAAUUACACCCUUACAUUACGACCAGGGCAACAUUCCAUCUCUUCUAAAUGCUCCUAGUCUUAGACUCCUCCGUGUUAAUUCAAGCUAUACUGAGCUUUCUAUAACUUACAAAAAUCUUCAUCUCUCUUGUUUUGAUGGGCUUAAUCCCGAAGCCUUACCUAUUUUUGUUACCAUCUCACUCACCUUUUCUUAUCCUUACUCCUAUGUACCUGAAACCUUGUCGCUCUAGGAUACUUUAUCUUGCAACCUACACACACACACACACACACACACACACACACACACACACACACACACACACAUAUAUAUAUAUAUAUAUAUAUAUAUAUAUAUAUAUAUAUAUAUAUAUAUAUAACUCGCAACCUUCAUUUAACUUGCUAGCACCAUAGAUUUCAUUUCGUGCCUUCUCAGUUUUCUUUAAAUGUAAGUAAUUACUUUUCCUGGUCGUUCUGCCACUUGUUGUAUGGAUACCUGGCUUAUCUUAGUGCCUACGAAUAUUGUAAUUCCUUGUAACUCAUAUGAUGUCAAAUAUACUUUUGAUUUUCUUCCCAUUCAUUAGCCACUAUAGGCGCCACUUUCUUAUGGAGUGCAUCCAAUGUUGUAGUGAGACUGUUGUUACCAGACCAAUUCUUCUUCAAGUUAAUAUACUUAGGUUGAAGCCCUUUUCCUUAUUUCUUGAGCUAGUCUUUCAUGGUAGUACUUAGGGGAGAUCCUCUAACUCUUGUAAAGCUACAAGCUUAUUACACCAUAUACCCGAAGAAAUUUUUGAUGUUGUCACUCACCUAUAAUUAUCCUUAGUUACUUACCUCCGCGCCCUUGUACUCGUAGGGUUUCUUCUGAACUAAAAUUUUUUACUGUCUUCCUAGUGGCAUCGUCUUUUAUUUUCGUAACACUUAAACAGUACCUUUAACAACCCCAACUCCUAUCUGAAUAUUUCUCAAGAUUAUGACGUCAUAUCUACGAGACUGAAUUCACUAUGUUGGGGUUCACUACGAUUAUCUUGAACAAUCUAUUGAUUUGUCUGUAUCCUCUUGUCUAGCCAUAACUAGGCUCUUCCUCAAUCAACUACUAACUACUCAUUAGUCCAUUCUCAUAUCUAUAUUCUAUGUAAUCUCUCUUGGGUUUUGUCCUUUGUCUUAACUUACCCCUCGCACUGACUCCUUAUGUAUCAAGUGUUCAUUUGCACUUAUUUAUCAAAAACAUAUAGUGUCGGAACCCUUACUGCUUCUCCCCGGCAUCGUGCUUGCAUAAUGUUUUGGAGUCGUAUCAUAUCUGUAGGAUUUGAAUAAAUGCAAUCUCACUCCUUUCGCUUUUCUACCAUAUUCUUCCUUGACUAUUCCAUAGUUACCUCUUCAUCUUAGGCAUCUUUUCACAUCUUCACUAAAUCUUACUUUCCUUGUGAUAACCCUUAUGUACCAUGGAUAACUGAAUUUCUUACGCACGAAGGUGACACCUAGUGUAACUGGCACACUUAGUCCCAUAAGCUUAACUCUGCUCACAGUGCUUGUGUUUGGGAAGCGUCUUCCUGAAUGAACUGUAAAGGUUAUUCUUUUGUUGUCCAAUCUCUGAAAUUGUCACGAUGUUGACUAUUAUCAAAUCCUUUGGUCUCUAAUUCAUGUUCUAUUUUAUCUUGUUUACUAGAUCAUACUAACUUCUAUUACUCUGGGGUUCUAACUUAGCCUUCUAGUAAUUAUGUUCGGGCCAGCAACUCAUUUCUCGAAAUGAGGGUAUGACCUUAUGGCUUAUACAGUUUUAUUGUAUCAAGGCUUGUCACCUCUUGUCUGUUCCUUCACUUGACUAGAGACUCUAUCAUUCUUUCAUAUUUUGAUUUACCGUUAUCACCCAUUUAUCACAUCUUACUCAUAAUGCUUCAUUAACUCUCUUCUUAUUCUCCAGCUAAUAUUUCUGUCUAUCACUUUAUUACGAAAACUUCAACCAAACGUUCUUUCACUUUUAGCUCCCCUUGCUUCAUCUCACUAGCUCUUCGGGUCGCCUAACAUUCUCUUUUUUCCUAGGGGCGAGAGUCAUACGAAGGUAAAUAUUUAUCCCUUCUAGGAUUCCAUUGCCUAUCUUCUGAAAUUUUUGAACAUUCUGGUAUUCAUAUCUCACUGUACUAUUCUAGAGUGCACUAUAUGUAUGUCUCACAAGGAGAACAAUUACCAUGUUUUGCACUACCCUUCGGAAAUGUUAGAUAAUGAUAACAAUCCAUCCAUAAUUUUGGGUUAACCCCAGCUGGAUCCUAAUAUCCUAUCCUUCUCUUAAACUAUAUCUGUUAGCUCUCAUAUGGCAUAACUAAGAUAGGUGUGUCAAUUGUAUAGACCUCUGUUACUGUUGAAGGUAACUCAAAAUACAUAUAUUUCUCUUCCUAAAUUGUAAAAACUGAUAAUCUUCACUAACUGGGUACCUCGUACCCUUCGCCACCUUGCUUCUUUUACUUGUUGAAACUAGUAUCUACCUUCUUAUUCUCUCGUUGCAUUUUAAACUAUAUGGGUGGAUUGAUAUUCAUGCCUUAGGGCUCCUUAUCAAGAAGCUUACAUAUCUUAGUACACACAUAAUCUACUAAAGACCUUACAUUUACUCAUCAUAAACAUGAUGCAAAAUCGAGUUCCUCUGAUCAACUCUUCUACAGCCACAUUCAAUCUCUUACCAACUAUCUUUGUAUAUGUAGGUGUCCUUGUAUUACGAAUAAAAUAGAAUUUAGGAGUUUGAAUUCUUACAAUUGAGAUCUACCACACGAUCUAGAGUAAUAAGAAAGAGUGAUGGUCCUAAAUGCCCUGUAGCCUCCUACUUAUAAGUGUGGUGCACAACACACCCAUAAACAAGACUCUACUAGACACGACUUUUAGACUCCCUAGGACAGAAUUGCACCAAGUUUGUCAAGACCCAAACCGAAGGGCCACGACAGGCACUCGGUGCCUUACUCAAUCGAGUACCAACAUAACUUAUCUUUCUUAUCAUACUAUCAUGGGUAAAUGAGCCAGAAAGGCCGUCAUGAGAUAACAAGAAUAAAAUAUAAGGUAAUACUCGACAAUGACGACCCAACAUGAUAUACAAACUUAUACAUGUGACAUACAUGCCCAUAAGGCCGAAAUAAUCAUUUGGACACUCAAGACAUCCGACAAGGCCAAACAAGUAUCCAUAUACAUGACAUCUGUCUACAAGCCUCUAAGAGUACAUAAACGUCAUAAAGGUCGGGACAGGGCCCCAUUAUACCAAUCAAUACAUGUCCAAAGAAUGCUGACCAAAUAGGUAACUCCGGAGCAAGUGGAGUGCACCAACACCUUCCGCUGAGCUGAUAGCCUACUAGGAGGACUGUCAACCUGUCAAUCGGGACCUGCGGGCAUGAAAUGUAGCAUCCCCAAGCAAAAGGGACAUCAAUAUGAAUAAAGUACCGAGUAUGUAAGGCAGGAAAGUAUAAAUAUGAACAAUAAUGUAAAGAGAGGUAGAGAAGAUACAAUAUGUAACAUCUACGUGCCUCUAAGGGAUACUAACAUGAAAUGCAUGAUACAUAUAUAUACAUAAACUUUUAAAAAGUAUACGCCUCUGUGGGCAUCAUCAUCAUAUUAUACCUGGCCUCGAAGAGGACUCGGUAAAAAUGUACCCGACCAUCUUAAGGUUCGGUAGAAUCGUACUCGGCCACGUGAAGCUCGGUAAAACCUAACUAAUCAGUGGUUGCACAAUAGGUGUUGUACCCGGCCGACUAUAGCGCGACUUGGUAGAGUAAAAUAGAUACAUAUAUAUAAUGCAUGCUAGACUCAUGGAAUCACAUUCUAAACCUUUCGGAGUGACAUAAGGUAAUCACACACUUGAUUAACAUUAUUGACAUCAAUACCAUCAAUAUGAACCUCAAUAGGAUUCAAGGAUCAUACAUACUUGCUUAGAAUAACUUUAUAAGGAAAGAACAACACGGGCAGCCUUAGUUGCUAGGAGUAGAUCUGUUAUGAAAUAGCGUAUCAUUUAUGUUGAUUUCUUUUUAGAUCAUGCCAAAAACGGACAGCACCUCCCUGUCAUGCAAGCUCAAUAUGAUCUUCUUACGCCUACAAUGAGUAAACCAACUUCGUCGUCAUCAUAUAAGCGUUGUAACUCUCAUAUUUGGAAACCAAUAUUCUACAAGAAAAUGAACAACACUUCCCCUAUUUGUACUACAUCCCAUAUGUUACCAAAAGUCACCAAACAGCCCAAACAACAACAAUAUAAUUUACAAUAAGUUCUCUAAUUAGUUCAACAACCAUUUUGAGCGGCAAGAUCGAUUUACGAUUAACAAAAUAUGGUUUAAAUCCAAUUCCUUUUCCAUGAAUCUGCCUACAACAUAUAUAACAUCAUACUUAUGCUUAACAUAUUAUUUUCAACACAAAUAUCAUAAGCAUAAUCUUCAAAUAUAGUCCACACGCCUAGCACCUUAACCUUUACUGUCAACAUCUUAUUUUUCAUGUUAUCUUCUUCAAUACACUGAUUUAGCACAUAGAUAAGCUUAACAACAGUAGCCACAACAUAAUAAAAAUAUUUAUAACAAUUUCCAGCCACAACAAACAAUAUAUAUAGCCUCAACAAAGGCAUAAAAAAGAUAAUGAUUCCUUAUGCCAUGUCAAUUACUAUCUUGUAGAUUUUCACUGAAACAACUCAAGCAACAUAUGAUUGACCUCACACAACCACAAACAUAAUUUACAUACCUUAGUAAUUAGAUACAACUUGAAAUCCCCAGCUGGUGUAGCUCACAACAACCCUCAAUCACACCACAACACUAUAGGAGUUGUAUUCUCUUCUUCGAUCAAAUUUUGUAUUCAAGUUGGUGUGUAAAUACUUGUAUUUUGCCUUGAAACCCUAAUAUAUAUGAAGGAGGGACUGAUUAUUAUCUUAAUCAUAAAGAAAAACACAAAAUCUGAAGUUACUUACCUUUGAAGAACCCUCCAAAACAUCCACAAGAUGAAGAACUACGAUCUAGUAAGCACCACGGGAUUUCUAGCGUUGGAUUCAUGUUUUUAUCUUAGUUUUUCACCCUAUAAUCAUGGAGGAACCCUUGGAGAGUAUUUAGGAGGGUUUAGGAACUGUUUUGGACAAGAAAAAUGAGUUAAAACGAUAUAUAAUUGACUUAAAUACAAGCUGAAAUUUUACACCGACUUUGUGGGUCCCAUGAGAGUUGCUUGCGCAGUCUUGCAAAAAUACGAAUAUCUCUCUAGUCUGAUGUCGUAUGAACGAACGAUUUAAUGCAUUAGAAACUACACUCGUAGAUCUUCAAUUUGAUAUGUAGAUCGUCCCUUGAUUCUAAGUAUAUUUAGGGCGUGUGCUACAUUUGACCUAUAUUUCAGCACAUUAUGAAUGUAACUUGUUAUGACCUUUGCCAACUUUUGUUCCACAACUCGCUUGACUUAAAAAAAUAACACACGACUAUUAUACGACUAAAAUAACUCAUAAAUUAACCUUCUUAUCAUGUUAUUCACCCUAGUUUUACCCUAAAAGUACGUGUUAUAACAUUCCAAACUUGUCGACUUUCGAUAAAACUUAUUUUCUUCAAUUCGUUUAGCGUCUAUGCUUUCCAACCCUUUUGGUACUUGUUAUUCAUGAUCUUAAAGAAUUGUAACCUCCAAGAUAACAUGAUGAACUUACGUUAUGUACUUUCAAUGACAAUCUCAUUUUUUAGCUUACAUCAAUUGACUUAUGAUGUGCUCUCACGUACGAAAACAUGGGAUGCAACACCAAGUGUGAAUGGAAUGGUUCAGUAAUCAUUCCAACCAAUCUAAAGCUUUCCCCCAUAUAGAGAAGGGAAAAAGCCUUGGCCUCAAUGCAUCCUCGAAGAUAUUUGUUUGUUUGCUCCCCCAACAAGUAUCCACAAACACCUUCAAGUGUUUAUACAUAUUUUGAGUUGGAGCACCAAUGAAGAAACCCCGUUGUUCAAGCAAAGUGAGCAUCACAUUGGUGAUUUAGAAGUUGACAGCUCUAAUAUGGAGAGGGACUAUUAUACUAGCAUAUCUUUCAUUGGGUAACACCCAGUGUGGAUCCGCUCGUGGUGGAGGUGGGGGUGGAGUGGGUACAUUGUAAUGAGGCACUCGGCCUAUUAUAUUGGCUUGAGGUUCAAGAGGAACCUCCUCAACUUGCUCAUCCUUGACGUCCACAUCCCCAAAGGCAUAUUUCCGAGUUCAUUGUUUGUCGCCAUGGUUGUACCUAAAACUGUUUCACACAAGUUAGUAACAUGGAAGGAAAAGAAGAUAUUCCAAAAACAAACCUAAAUAUAUAGCUAACAUAUAUAAAAGUUUUGGUGUCGGUCGUAUGAAAUAUAAAUUACCCAAGUAUAAGUCGGGGUCGAAUCCACAGAGAGUUAUAAGGGGUGUUAGGAGUAUAUAUUUGAAUAAAGUGAAUGGAUUACCUAAAAUUGCACUUCCACAACAAGUUUUGGUUUUUACUUCUACUAUUACUCUAAUGAUUGCAAGCUAAGGAAAUUAAACUAGAGAUGAAUGUUUUUGGUAUUUUUUCAUAUUGCUUAAAAGCCUAGGGAUGUGACCAUAACCCAUGUAUUCUUCUAAUGGGAUAAAGACGUUAAUGCUUGUUUCGUUGAUUGGGGUGUAUUAUAGCUCUCAACUCUACAUUACCCACUCAAUAUCUCUCGGUCAGAGAAUUAUUUUGUCCAAUUUGGCUUUCUCAAGUCCAAAUGGGUAUCAAACAAAAUAGUUGAUAUGAGCUCACGUUGGGUUCUUACUAUCUCUAGUUCGAACCCUUUAAUUAGGCUAAUCAAUCUCUCAAUUAGCCCAAUUCCUUGUUAGCCAAGUUAUCCUAGACUAGGUCUCUCUUUCUCAAGUAGAAACUAAGUCAAAAAGGUAUGAAUCAUUAUUUACAACUAUUAAUUCUAAAAUUAGAACAUUAACUAAGCUAAAUAAUCAACACCUAAUCAUAAACAAAUAUUAAAUUAAAUACCCAUAAAGUUUACAUACUAGGGUUGAGUCACAACCCUAGUAAGAAUCUAGCUACUCAUAAUGGGAAUUGAAGAAAAUAAAGAAGAAAAGCUAAUUAAACCCAUAAUCAAAGAUUAAAAUGGUAAAAGAUAAUGUAAAAAUACUAAAAUGGUUACAAACUUCCUAAAGUAGUAAAAGGUAAUGGCUAUAACAACUUUUUUUUUUCAAAACUUGACCUAAAAUUGUGAAACUCGUCUAUUUAUAGUGGGCCAAAAAUUGCUGACAAAAAUGCCCCUCAGGAGGUUUUGCGACCACACAAUUCCUUGUGCGAUCCGCAGAUUUCUUCAGUUGUCAGGAGAUUGGAUUAUAGCCGCACAUUUCUGGAUUAUGGCUGCGAAGCAACUUCUUUGGCCGCACAAUUCUUGUGUGGUCCACACUUCCGCAAAGCACCAGGACAUGGUCUUCUACAUACUCUCUGAACUCUAAAUUACUUGUCAGUGCAGACCCUGUUUUGCGGCCGUACAAUUCAUGUGUGCUCCGCAUAUUUGUAAAAAUCCUGUUGGGUUAUUUACUUGGGGUAGAUGAAAUUCUAUUGUCCGCACUUUCUUCUGCGGCCGUAGAAAUCCUUCUGCGAACCGCACUUCUUUGUUUCUGCUUCCUUCAUUGCCUUGUGUUUCGGAACAAUUUUUUUGAGUCGGAUUUCAUCAUGGGAGACCAAACUUCCAAUAUUCCUGUAAUUUGUAUAAUUUUAUUAGUUUCGGAAACAUAAAUCAAUACUUUCAGACUAAAACAAAAGCAAAAAGGUGCUAAUAAGUAGUCAAAAUCUCCACUUAUCAGUUUCCAGACCCAACAAAGACACCACCACCCACGUGGAGGCGUAUCUAAGUGUUUACAUUUACCCUUUCACGCUCGCCUCAGUGGAUCCUAUAAUCCUCGGCUUCUGCAAAAGGUACGAGGUCUGCCUUGUGCAGAUUCACCCGUCCUUUUGAAGGAUCAUAAUCCUCCUCCGCCACUUUAUAAACGACACCAAAGCACCUCGGUUCACCCUCAAUCACCUGUUUUGUCUUUACAAGCCCCGAAUCUUUCGAGGGAGGUUGAUCAAGCUCGUUCGCCGAGCAAGUAAAGCUCCAUUCUCCAUUCUAAGAGAUAUAAAAUACUAUGUUUUUUCAAUCGAAGGAGAAAAAUGCUUUACAUUAAAGUCGUUGAAUUAUAAUUUACCUCGUCCUAUCUCCUAAGUGUUAGUUCAUGAUAAUUAGUUGCGACAUCCAAAAUUAUAAAAACAAUAAUUUUGAACUCUAACAAAAUAAAAAUAACAAACAAUUAUAAGAAGCAAUAUUCUCACAAUUUAAAGUUACGUGUAAAAUAAAGCACGUUAUUAAUAUUUGUAGAAAUUAAAUCUUAUUUAAACUUAAAGUUCUAAAUUUUGGGACUUCUUAUAUGGGUCAAAUAAGAAAAGAUUUAUACAUAAAGUUAUACUUUAUUUUAAAGUCCUCAAUGUUUAGAAAAAUAAUUAAAUAUAUAUUUUUAAAUAUUAAAAAAUUAAAAAUAAAUUAUUUUAUCUAUGUGAACUCUAUCUUUUAAAGGUAAAAAAAAAGCGAAAAAAAUUUUCUAAGGGAUUUUUGUGCUUUUAAUAUAUAAUAUAAUAUAGAUAUAAUAAAUAUAUGUUCAAACUCUUUUCAACUGAAGUUACCUUAUCGUUUAUAUGCAAACUAAUUGUCUACAUUUAAAGUAGUAUUACAUACUCCAAAUAAAGAAAUAAUUUAUACAAGGUAGUAUAUUAAUCAAUUUUAAAGUCCUAAAUGCUUGGACUUAGUACAUAGUUUAAAAGAGAAAAGAUUUUAAAACAAAAAUUUUAGUUGAUUUUUAAGUUUUAAAUAAUAAGAAAAAAAUUAAAUUUACAGUUUUUUUUUCAAAUGUAAAAUCUAUUUUAAAGGGCAAAAAAAUAGAAUUCAUGCUUUUAAUAGAGUAUAGAUAGAAAGAUAAAUAGAUAGAUAGAUAGAUAGAUAGAUAUAGAUUAUAAGUUGGUAUGGACGUUAAAAUGAGGAUAGACAAGACAUUACUGGAAUUUGAAGCUAAAUAAGGAAAAAGGUCUCAACUGAAAUAUAAAAUGAGAAACAAAAUGAAAUAUCUAAAUAUAUUAUACUACAGCUGCUUAUACGGAGAAGUAUACAUAAACAAAAUAUUAAUAAAUAAGUACAUACAUCGGAGGAAUAUAUUGAAAGUAAUUCACAAUUAUAAUCCCAACUCCUCAACUCAAACAAAACAAAAUGACUCGACUGAUAAAUAAACCCAGCCACAUAAUGAUGGGGAGAUGUUUUACACUUUACCACCCUCAGUCUAAUCUCUAGAGCUUCACAAUGGAUGGGGAAAUACAUUAUUAUUCCACAAGAAUACCAUUUUUCAAUGCUCAAAGCAUCCUUGUAAGUCCAUAAAACGUGAGUUGUAUCUAUAAUAAAAUGAUUGUAAUUGUUUAUAGCUCCAGUGAUCAUCCCAUUUUGCUCAAGGACUGAGUUUUUUGUGACGAAGUUCUUGAGAUUCACCAGCGGAAUGGACAAAUUCACCAGUAGUACCAUGUUCACUGCCUGUGAAUUCUUGGCUCGACAUUCCAGAUUUCCUGAACUUUUUAACGUCAUAUGAACCUCCGUCGUAUUCGGAACUUUCACCAGAACCAAACAUUGCGCUAUGGCUCUUUUUCAUUCCCUCGUUCAAAUCAUCCAGAGAAACAUCACCUUCCAAAGCACGUACAAUCUACAACAUAAUUAUUUUAUUAGCCAAUCUCUCUUUUAGCAUUAGAAAUUCGAACCCUAUAUAUGUGUCUGUGAAGUGUGAAGCUUCCAGGGGAAGCCUUUUGGUAGAACUGAAACCCUAUUAUUUGCUGGUACUAUUAGGCUACAACUCCAAUUUUGUCAAUAGAAUUUAAAUGCUAGCUAGACUAUGGAGUAGUAAUUAGGCACUAUGUCCUUCGUCUUGAUGUAUUUUACUUUGGAAUGUUAAUAUACGUGUCAGGGUCUAUGCAUAAUGAGGCUUUAUUGAACAAAAACAAAAAGCUAAUUAACCUGACUCAUUUUUGGACGUCUUCUUGCAGAAUGUCUGAUGGAUGCAGCAGCACAAGCCACCAUACAUAGCAUCUCUUGGGCAUCAAAAUUUCCCUCCAAACGUGGAUCUAUCAAUUCAUCAUAGUUUCCGCCCUCUGUUGCACGAACCAGAAUUGGCCUAGCCUGGAUAUAUAUGUAUAUAUAUAUAUAUAUAUUAAAAUUAAUUUGAUCAAAUUAAGUGCAUACGUGUUUGCAUUCAUAGAUCAUGUCUUGUAAGCCAAAAAAAUUGUUUCAAUUAUAUCAUUAAUGAAAACAUACCCAC
Molecule: long non-coding RNA, 14293 nt
Filed under: Nicotiana tabacum (common tobacco)
Lineage: Eukaryota; Viridiplantae; Streptophyta; Magnoliopsida; Solanales; Solanaceae
Description: long non-coding RNA (NTAB_LNC003903)
Source: RNAcentral